RNAcentral lists this transfer RNA (91 nucleotides) under uncultured Dysosmobacter sp. Its description in RNAcentral is "Selenocysteine transfer RNA". It matches the Rfam family "Selenocysteine transfer RNA". Lineage: Bacteria; Bacillati; Bacillota; Clostridia; Eubacteriales; Oscillospiraceae. The record is from RNAcentral.
GGAGCAGAUAGGCGCCGGUGUGCCUCCCGGUCUUCAAAACCGGUGCGGACGGUGAGCAGCCGCCCGGGUGGGUUCGACUCCCACAUGCCCC